GUACUGUCAGACAUAGAGGACUGGAUAAUACAUUUGUGUCUUUCUACAUAGUGGUAUAGAAAUAUCAGGUCCCCAAAUUCCCAUUUUUCUUUCAAUCACAUUUAAAAUUUCAAUAUGUUGCAGGCAGUAUGUGUAAGAUUGCAUCCAAAUAUUUACUCCUGGUUACUCCUCUUGGGCAAGCUUGUGAAUAUGAUCAAAAUAUCUAAAGAAGGAAGAAGGUAAAGAUCUAAAAUAUGACAUGAAAAUACCCAGAGCAGUGUGCCUAAAUUAGCAUUAGGGUUUGAGGGAUCCUAAGGAUGACAAAAAGGGACUCUUCUAUGUUGAAUUCGUGGUUGAUGCUCAGCGGUAGUAACAAUCCUGCCUCCCCUAACAUCUUCCUCCCCUUCCAGCAGCUUCACAGAAGAUGGUUGAUGAGGUAACUUAGGGGAUGCACAGGGUGUGGCCAGAAGACCCCUUUCCCUAUAGACCACUGUGAGCCCUGAAAGAUUUAUGAGGUAAUGUUCACUUCAUCCUGUGCUUCUUUUCCUAGAUGUGAUCUAUGAAGACUUUACUUCCACCACACCAGCGUGGAGGAAGUAUCAUCAUUCUUCCAGAGGGACAGACCACAAAGACAUCCCCAGGACCAGCCACUCUGGUAAUCUAGAAUUCAGUGACAGAAAAUAAAUAAGAAGAUAACUUCCUUCAGAAAGCCAUGACAUUGAAAUAAUAUGGUCAUAACUCUUUCUUCAGUACACCAAUAAAAUAUUAAUAGCAUGCAA
This 758-nucleotide small RNA is filed under the name Pongo abelii (Sumatran orangutan). RNAcentral describes it as "processed transcript". The record is from RNAcentral. Lineage: Eukaryota; Metazoa; Chordata; Mammalia; Primates; Hominidae.